GGGGCCAUAGUUUAACGGGAGAACGCAGCCUUCGCAAGGCUGAGAUGGCGGUUCGAUUCCGCUUGGCUCCACCA
Molecule: transfer RNA, 74 nt
Filed under: Candidatus Aminicenantota bacterium
Lineage: Bacteria; Candidatus Aminicenantota
Also listed under: 1 other name
Description: Candidatus Aminicenantes bacterium tRNA-Ala
Rfam family: tRNA
About the family: Transfer RNA (tRNA) molecules are approximately 80 nucleotides in length. Their secondary structure includes four short double-helical elements and three loops (D, anti-codon, and T loops). Further hydrogen bonds mediate the characteristic L-shaped molecular structure. tRNAs have two regions of fundamental functional importance: the anti-codon, which is responsible for specific mRNA codon recognition, and the 3' end, to which the tRNAs corresponding amino acid is attached (by aminoacyl-tRNA synthetases). tRNAs cope with the degeneracy of the genetic code in two manners: having more than one tRNA (with a specific anti-codon) for a particular amino acid; and 'wobble' base-pairing, i.e. permitting non-standard base-pairing at the 3rd anti-codon position.
Source: RNAcentral